Molecule: ribosomal RNA, 115 nt
Filed under: Escherichia coli
Lineage: Bacteria; Pseudomonadati; Pseudomonadota; Gammaproteobacteria; Enterobacterales; Enterobacteriaceae
Source: RNAcentral
CCUGGCGGCCUUAGCGCGGUGGUCCCACCUGACCCCAUGCCGAACUCAGAAGUGAAACGCCGUAGCGCCGAUGGUAGUGUGGGGGCAUUAAUUCGUCUGUAAAACGUCGACGGGA